AUAUCUUUCUCGAUCUUUUGGUUAAGAUAAAGGAUAAUAUAGGUUCUUAUCGGUUUAAUAUCUAAUAUGUGGACCAUUGGUCCACACAAUAUUAACUUAGUUUUAAGGGGAAGAGUUCAUUAAUGUAGAUUGUAGCUUGCUACCUGGGCUCUUGCGCGCAUGCGUUGCAACACUGGCCGGACGCACCCCAC
This is a small nuclear RNA of Solanum dulcamara, 191 nucleotides long. RefSeq annotates it as U2 spliceosomal RNA. The transcript has a single exon. NCBI's taxonomy places the organism in Eukaryota, Viridiplantae, Streptophyta, Magnoliopsida, Solanales, Solanaceae. The record is from RefSeq and is a predicted model, not a curated record.